This 576-nucleotide ribosomal RNA is filed under the name uncultured bacterium. Its description in RNAcentral is "partial 16S ribosomal RNA". It matches the Rfam family "Bacterial small subunit ribosomal RNA", at positions 355 to 924 of the family's 1533-position model. The record is from RNAcentral.
UGGGGAAUAUUGCACAAUGGGCGCAAGCCUGAUCCAGCCAUCCCGCGUGUGCGAUGAAGGCCUUCGGGUUGUAAAGCACUUUUGGCAGGAAAGAAACGUCGCGGGUUAAUACCCCGCGAAACUGACGGUACCUGCAGAAUAAGCACCGGCUAACUACGUGCCAGCAGCCGCGGUAAUACGUAGGGUGCAAGCGUUAAUCGGAAUUACUGGGCGUAAAGCGUGCGCAGGCGGUUCGGAAAGAAAGAUGUGAAAUCCCAGAGCUUAACUUUGGAACUGCAUUUUUAACUACCGGGCUAGAGUGUGUCAGAGGGAGGUGGAAUUCCGCGUGUAGCAGUGAAAUGCGUAGAUAUGCGGAGGAACACCGAUGGCGAAGGCAGCCUCCUGGGAUAACACUGACGCUCAUGCACGAAAGCGUGGGGAGCAAACAGGAUUAGAUACCCUGGUAGUCCACGCCCUAAACGAUGUCAACUAGCUGUUGGGGCCUUCGGGCCUUGGUAGCGCAGCUAACGCGUGAAGUUGACCGCCUGGGGAGUACGGUCGCAAGAUUAAAACUCAAAUGAAUUGACGGGGGUCGAU